Molecule: ribosomal RNA, 255 nt
Filed under: uncultured bacterium
Lineage: Bacteria
Description: partial 16S ribosomal RNA
Rfam family: Bacterial small subunit ribosomal RNA
Source: RNAcentral
CGGACGGGUGAGUAACGCGUGGAGAACCUGCCGUAUACUGGGGGAUAACACUUAGAAAUAGGUGCUAAUACCGCAUAAGCGCACAGUCUCGCAUGAGACGGUGUGAAAAACUCCGGUGGUAUACGAUGGAUCCGCGUCUGAUUAGCUUGUUGGCGGGGUAACAGCCCACCAAGGCGACGAUCAGUAGCCGGCCUGAGAGGGUGAACGGCCACAUUGGGACUGAGACACGGCCCAAACUCCUACGGAAGGCAGCAG